ACAAAGCAGCUGCUCAAUGCUAACACACGUCUGAAUGACCUGGACGAGGAGAUCUUCGAUGAUGAUGAUUUCUAUCACCAGCUUCUGUGGGUGCUUAUUGAAUGCAAGACAAGUGCUGCAGACCCCAACGACCAGGUGGCUAUGGGGAGGUUCCACAUCCACAGUAAGCUGGUGAACAUCAUGGCCCCAUCGACCACAGCUCCAUGAAUGUUGAUGCACGGCGAGUCUCUUAUUGUUCACGCAUUACAUGAGUAAAGGCAGCACUCUUCACUGACAUGCCAAUAUUGACCUGUUCUUCAACCUAUCACCUCCUCUAUCUUGGGGCUGGAAAUCACAGAGCUCAGUGUUCCUCUGUCCCGUCCUCUUGUCACAGCCAUCUGACACACUCACUACAGCCUCACUCACAAACCUGAAAUGACUGUCCCUAUAACAGCUACCCUCCCAUAAAUCUCUGAAUGCUGCUUUGCUCGGCGGCUCUCCUGCACUCACACACAUACUUUGUUCCCCUUUUAGCCUUUUUGUUGCCGUCGUCUGUAGUGGGUCAGUGUGAUUUCUAAAUGAGAUGAACAGGUUCUUCAGCUGUAAUGUAUUGACUGCUGAUAGUCCUAUUAUGUGAGUUUAUAAACGCCACAGCAGGACUGUUGUAGUCUUCCAUUUGCUAGUGGGCCCAUAUUGAUUCCAAGCACACACUGGAGACGGAGAGGACAGUAGAUGGCUAGUCCCCUGACUGUCCUCCUUAUCUGUCCUCCAGUACGUACUGUAGGUAGGUAGGGUAGUGCAGGCAGAGGUUGUGUUUACUGUGAGAUGACAGGUAUUCUAAACACGGUAAUAACUGACCAAUGGCGUGACCUUGCCCUGCCGUGUUUACAGCCCACCUCAUUUCCAUAGCAAUCAAUGGCCUACAGUAAUAAUGGUGAUGUAUGACCGUUGCAUCAGGCUGGUCACUGACCUUUCCCAGAGAGACACACUGGGUGACCUUUUGGAAUGAAUGCCCCGGCACAGCCCUCCUCACCCUCUAUAUCACCCUCCCUCCCGGCCCUCUUAUCUCUCUCCCCCACCACCGUAUCUCAAUGCUGCGCUGGCUUCACGGACGCAGUCCGCAAUGCUCCACUAGCUCCAUGAAUGUUAAUGUGAGGGGGGAGGGGGGCUGUCACAGACAGGUCCCACAUACAAUGCAGGAUCUAAACGCGGUUUGUUUAUUAAUAAAGGUACGUGGUGGAGUUGAGUGAGUGGGCUCUUUUUAUUUUAUACUGACUUUUUCCGGCCCUGCACCCACUAAAGGAUGUGCAUUUGAUCACUCUUGACACACACAUGCAAGUGUCAUGCAUACAUUUCAUGCACAUUGCACACCUGUGCACAUUUAAGUCCUUUAGAAGGUAUUUAGACAUUCAUCAUGGCACAUUUCUGCAUGUAAUAUAUAGGAGAUGCAAUUUGAGGCAGGCUGCACCUCCAACCACACUUCAGCUCCCCUGUUCUUCGUCUCCCGUCUUCUCUCCCUCGUACACACACACACACGCACACACACACACACGCACACACACACACACAGACACACACACACACACAGACACUAUUUUAGGCUGGGUUCUGAGCCUCCUCCCCUGUCUUCCCGGCGCUCCUCAGUAUUCCCCAGCCGAUAUUUACCGAGCUCAGGCGGAAUGAGAAUUUAUGCAUUAUGUGGUGAUGAUCAGAAUGUAUUGUAAUCCUUGACCCUGGUGGCGCAUUUCAAAUGAGGAUUGGGGAUUAAGCCCCUGUGGCUGGCUGACAGACACAUUGGCUCCCUGCCCCCUGAGAACAACACAAGGCUCCUCUUUAACACAACACAUUACACAGAUACAGGGACUGGGACCCUGCACUGACUGUUAUGCUGUAGUGGACACACAGAUUUGUAAUAGGUUAUAAUCUGUAUAGCAUGCUAUUGUAGGAGUGGUUACUUCUCUACCCUGGCCAACACAAACUAUAGGUUGUUUGACACCACUGCAGUUUUUGCUGAAGGUGCAGUGCGGGAGUGACAUGCUCUGAGCUAGUAGGAGAGAUGCACAGCAGAACAGAAGGCAGGAGCCAGGAGAUAAACACAUGCCUCUUCCUGUGGUCUGGCCCUCUCCUCUAAAGGCUUAUGAACAGCACCAGUCUAGAUUUUAGUUCAGAAUGGACCUGACUGAUUUGGAAUCUGCCUCAUUGACUUGAAGAUACGGUUUUCUUCAUUAGGUUUAAAUAUGUGAUUUUGAUACUAUCAGAAUUUUUUGGGGGGCCACACUUGUGAUGUGUGUUUUGUCCUAUAUUUCUAUUGUAUUUUAUUUUUAAUCCCAGGCCCCCGUCCCCGCAGGAGGCCUUUUGUCUUUCGGUAGGCCGUCAUUGUCAAUAAGAAUUUGUUUUUAACUGACUUUCCUGGUUAAAUAAAGGUUAAAUAAAAAUAAAUCAAUAAAAAGUUGUUUCUAUUAUCCCCAUUUUAUGUCUGUCAGGUGAAUUGUCUGCUGACCAAUGGAGGGAACUUAACCCACCCCAGAGUUGGUUGGUGAUUAAAUGUAUUGUUGUUUUUAAACUUAUUAUGGGGAAAAAAACACUUAAAAACCUAACAAGCCGCCAUGCCAAACCUAACAAAGCAAUUCCUUGUAACUUUCUCCAAACAAUCCCGUUCUCUCCGCUCCAGUAGAAGUAGUGGAGGAAGGGUCUGAUGCUGCAGUUUGUCAGUGAUUAGCGCUGGAAUUAGCCAGCCUAGCGUGCCUCUAGAAAUGAGCAAAGCCCUCUGGGAGACCGGAGAGGCCAGGCAAGGCGCAUUUCCAAUUAUACCACCAAAUUACUCAUUUUGUUAUUGGGUCUCCCAUAAUUGUGAUGGGUAUUGGGUGUAUGCAACUCAAUUUGUCUUACAUAUUUGUUGGUAGGAUGGUAAUAGAGUUGACAGAGCCAAGGGGACAAUAUGAAAGUGAGACACGAAAAACAACUAAAGGGAUGAGAUGGAUUCUUCACUAUUUGUUUGAUUAGUCUCAUCCCUCUUAAGACGGUUGAAGUUUAAAAGCCCAUAAAUGUUUUUAAAAAAUGGGUUGAAAAGUGGGUUGAGGCAUGAGAAGAGAAGAUAAUUUCAGAGUAAUCAGAAUGUCUCUCCCCAAGUAUUAUACUUCUCUCACUGCAUUUGGCAGAAUUGCUGAAGUAUGAUGGUGGUGUGAUAAUCUAUCAUGGAUCAUCUAUUUCUCCAGGGGCUAGGCCACCGUCACUUUGCCAUGAAGAGAUUUUUAUGUGGAUUAUAGUACACUGAACAAAAAUAUACAGUAAACACAACAUGUAAAGUGUUGGUUAAAUGUUUCAUGAGCUGAAAUAAAAGAUUCCAGGAAUGUUCUAUAUGCACAAAAAGCUUAUUUCUCCAAAAUGUUCUUAACAAAUUCAUUUAUAUCCCUGUUAGUAAGCAUUUGUCCUUUGCCAAGAUAAUCCAUCCACCUGACAGUUGUGGCAUAUCAAGAAGAUGAUUAAACAGCAUGGUCAUUACAUAGGUGCACCUUGUGCUGUGGACAAUAAAAGGCCACUCUAAAAUGUGCAGUUUUGUCACACAACACAAUACCACAGGUGUUUCAAGUUGAGAGGGAGCAUGCAGUUGGCCCACUGACUGCAGGACUGUCCACCAGAGCUAUUGCUAGAGAAUUGAAUGUUCAUUUUUCUACCAUAAGCCUUCAACAUCGUUUUAGAGUAUUUGGCAGUACGUCCAACAAAGCCUCACAACC
Molecule: non-coding RNA, 3713 nt
Organism: Oncorhynchus mykiss (rainbow trout)
Lineage: Eukaryota; Metazoa; Chordata; Actinopteri; Salmoniformes; Salmonidae
Source: RefSeq, a predicted model, not a curated record